CGGGCGUCCUCACAAAUUACCUGCAUUCAGAGAUUCAUACCGGCACAGGUCGGUAUGCGAAGUCCCUUUUGGGGCCUUAGCUCAGCUGGGAGAGCACCUGCUUUGCAAGCAGGGGGUCGUCGGUUCGAUCCCGACAGGCUCCACCAUAUUGAGUGAAAAGACUUCGGGUCUGUAGCUCAGGUGGUUAGAGCGCACCCCUGAUAAGGGUGAGGUCGGUAGUUCGAGUCUACCCAGACCCACCACUCUGAAUGUAGUGCACACUUAAGAAUUUAUAUGGAUCAGCGUUGAGGCUGAGACAUGUUCUUUUAUAACUUGUGACGUAGCGAGCGUUUGAGAUAUCUAUCUAAACGUGUCGUUGAGGCUAAGGCGGGGACUUCGAGUCCCUAAAUAAUUGAGUCGUAUGUUCGCGUUGGUGGCUUUGUACCCCACACAACACGACAUGUAACUUCGAGGCAACUUGGGGUUAUAUGGUCAAGCGAAUAAGCGCACACGGUGGAUGCCUAGGCGGUCAGAGGCGAUGAAGGACGUGGUAGCCUGCGAAAAGUGUCGGGGAGCUG
This 557-nucleotide unclassified non-coding RNA is filed under the name Xanthomonas hortorum pv. cynarae. RNAcentral's name for it is "partial contains 16S-23S ribosomal RNA intergenic spacer and 23S ribosomal RNA". The stretch from base 166 to 239 matches the Rfam family "tRNA". The record is from RNAcentral. Lineage: Bacteria; Pseudomonadati; Pseudomonadota; Gammaproteobacteria; Lysobacterales; Lysobacteraceae.